Molecule: microRNA precursor, 97 nt
Filed under: Paramuricea clavata
Lineage: Eukaryota; Metazoa; Cnidaria; Anthozoa; Malacalcyonacea; Plexauridae
Source: RNAcentral
CAAAGUUGAUCGUGUUUAUGACGUCGAAUUUCGACGUCAUAAACACCAAAGUUGAUCGUGUUUAUGACGUCGAAUAUCGACGUCAUAAACACCAAAG